CUCUUAUCAAGAGCAGGUGGAGGGAUUUUGGCCCGAUGAAGCCCAGCAACCGACCGUAAUACCAUCGCGAGAUGGGGCGUCCACGUCAAGUGAGAGUGGGAGCCUUGACCUGUAGUCAAACACGGCACGGUGCUAAUUCCAGCGGAACGUAUUUUAUUUGACGUUCGCAAGAUAAGAG
Molecule: non-coding RNA, 178 nt
Filed under: Thermoactinomyces sp.
Lineage: Bacteria; Bacillati; Bacillota; Bacilli; Caryophanales; Thermoactinomycetaceae
Description: SAM-I sequence
Rfam family: SAM riboswitch aptamer (S box leader)
About the family: The SAM riboswitch is found upstream of a number of genes which code for proteins involved in methionine or cysteine biosynthesis in Gram-positive bacteria. The SAM riboswitch acts at the level of transcription termination control.
Source: RNAcentral